RNAcentral lists this transfer RNA (72 nucleotides) under Toxocara canis (dog roundworm). It matches the Rfam family "tRNA". Rfam says of the family: Transfer RNA (tRNA) molecules are approximately 80 nucleotides in length. Their secondary structure includes four short double-helical elements and three loops (D, anti-codon, and T loops). The record is from Rfam by way of RNAcentral. Lineage: Eukaryota; Metazoa; Nematoda; Chromadorea; Rhabditida; Toxocaridae.
GCUGCAAUAGCUCAGUGGUAGAGCUCCCGCUUCGCGUGCGGUGAGACCCGGGUUGGCUUACCGGUUGCUUCC